Long non-coding RNA from Triticum dicoccoides, 2700 nucleotides. RefSeq lists it as uncharacterized. The transcript has 4 exons. NCBI's taxonomy places the organism in Eukaryota, Viridiplantae, Streptophyta, Magnoliopsida, Poales, Poaceae. The record is from RefSeq and is a predicted model, not a curated record.
UGCGGCGGCUUGCUCCGAUGGCCGCGGUGUCCUGCUUAUCCAGAGAAACAGGGCAUGAGGGAGAGAGGAAAGAGAUGAAAAAGGAGAAGGAGCAGGGGCGCAAGGUGAGGGAGAGGGAUCUGGCGGGUGGUGCGGGGGGCUUCGUGGCGGCGACGUCCUUCUCAUCCAGAGAAAGGGAGAGACAGGGCGUGAGGGAGAUAGGAAAGAGAGGAAGAAAGGAGAAGGAGAGGGGGGCGCAAGGUGAGGGAGAUGGUCGCCGGCGGUGGCGCCUCCGGUGACCGGCCGGCGGCAGGACCGAUGGUGUCUGGAGUUUUGGACACCUGAGCGAGCUACCCUGCUGCUGCUAAUUCUUCUCUCCCCACGCCUCUGCUGCUGCUCCUUCUACUCCUCAGAUGCCCAUGCUUGCUCUCAAACAAUCAUUGUUGAAGGACUGAAGGGCAUGAUUUCUGGACCACAGAUGAUGCAUUUUAUUGGCAGGCACAAUCAAGGGCCCAUCAUCUUUCUGCUAUAGGUUCAACACAAACAACAGCUAUCUUGUUGAGAUUCAAUUGCUAUUCGGUGGAGAGCAGCCACAAAAAGUUCCUCAAUUGAUGCACAGUGGCCACCGAAAACAGAUCUCGCUUUCAAUCUCUAAUUGAUUCUCAGCUACAGAGUGGCAUGUAUCUAUAGACUUGCUAAUGUGAUGGCUAAUGCAUGUGUAUUAAUUCAUGAAUUAGCAAAAUAUUUCCCGUGAGAUGUGCUAAUAUACAAAUUUGAUGUUCACAGUGCCCUCCACUUUUUUUUUGUUAUGCCUAUAACAGAUGACUUAUUUUCAAUUUUUAAAUAGAAAAGCACAGUAUGGUUGCUCUUAUAUACAGCUCAUAAAAAGGAAUUACAAAUAAGAAGAGUGAUGUGUUCUCCUCAAAACAAAAUUGCUGAAAUUCACAUGCAUGGUGGCGCCAUACAGCGAGCGCAUGGUGGCAGAGUUCACAAGCUAGAUCUCUGACUGGCGUAAUGGCUUGUCCUGAUGCAGAGAAGGACGGGGUUCAAGUUGUUGGGCCGGUGGCAGGGGCAGCAUGAUGUUUUCGUCAGGUAACAACCUAGCCAUCGACUCAAGAUUUAACUGAACCAAUUCCUUUAAUUCAAGCUCCAAAUCGUUGUUAUUUGAUUCACUAAUUGGUUGCUGGCAACAACUAAUUGGACAUAUAAUUGUUGAUUUAUGUACAAACAAUAUCUUCAGUUGUUUUCAGAUCUUCAAUAAGGAUCAUCAAGCCCUCUGCUUUUUAUAUGCAGAAUAGAUAUUGUAAUUGUGCCUCCAUUACGUCUAAAAGUCAGAUAUCGGAAAAAUGUCAUUGGCAUAUCUCUGUCACGAUGGAGGAUUGGUUAGACAGAAAAAGGACCUCUGGUUAUGUAUGACAUGAUGCGAGGCACAUAUCUCUGAAUGAAGCGCAACAAGAAUUGACAUCCUCUAAUGCUAACUGUUGAGCAUUCUUCUCUGAAGUAUCAGGUCAGUAUCCCAUGUGCCCCCUAUUCAUCUGUCAUCGCUGCAUAAAAAUUUAAUGCAGUUUUUAAGCCUAUGUUUAAGGGUAGCUAAAUCUCUAUGGACCAACCAUAUUAUCUUUUUGAGAUAAGAAAUCAACCUUCAUCAUGUACUUAUGUUGUAACUUCUCCCAUCUUUUGUGCUAUUAUCUAAAAGAGGUGUGGAUUGGAAUCAGUUUUUUUUGCUGCACCCCCAUUCCGACGAGGUCACACACACAUACCACUGGGAAUCCCACGAACCCUAUGUUCGAGCGCGAGCGACGGCAAUAGCAUCUGCAAGCACUUGACCAACACGCUACCCGGGUGUGGUAUCCACUAUUGAGGCCAAGCAACUUAGCUCGGUCAUCCUUAAGUGUGUUUGUGUCCACCACCUGAUGAAGAACGGGAGAAGAUUGCUGACUUUGUGCCUAAUGAUGGUUGCCUGAACUUCGUAGAGCAAAUUGACGAGGUGUUGAUUGCUGAAUUUGGUCUUAAGAGGCACGUCGUGGGAGAUAUCCCUUGUGGCAGGUUCAAAGUUGUGAUGGUAUCUGGUGUCUCCCAGCGAGAUUUGAUCCUUCUCUUAACAGUUACUAUUAAGAACAAAUUUAUGUUUCCAGCAAAAAAGUUGGCCGGCCCCAGCAAAAAAAAAGAACAGUUCCAGCAAAAAAAAGAUCGCCGCCGUGGUCACAGGUGUCAACAAGCAGUCUUCGGAAUCAUCAAUAAGCCAACAGCGAGAAAUAAGUUCAAGAAUUGAGUUCCCUUAACAGGGAAAUAAGGAAGGGAAGAAACAAAUAGGGAACAAUCAGAUGAAGCAUCAAGGAAAAUGGAUUGAACAAUCAGAUGAAGCAUCAAGGAAAAUGGAUUGAACAAUCAGAUGAAGCAUCCAGCUCGAGGAGAAGCAUGGUCUGCAAGGAGACCAAUCAUCUUGAGGUGGUUCUUUCAGCUACUGCAUGUUCCAUUACGGAGAAGGGUACUUAGUCGAUCUUAGGAGCCAGACUCUGCUUUCCUUGCAGGGAGAAUUUCAAUAAAUGGUACUAUUACUCUCCCAACAAUUCUUUUAUCACUACAAAAUGUGUAGGAACCUUAUUUUUCUUAAGUGGCAUAAUGUGAUUUCGUAAGUGUUGUGUUGUACCACUUUAGAGUAAAAGAAUAAUUAUGUAUGAAGAAUAAUAUUACCGAGUCAGGCAGAAUUUGACCUUAGUU